This 1242-nucleotide long non-coding RNA is filed under the name Crocodylus porosus (Australian saltwater crocodile). RNAcentral's name for it is "lncRNA (ENSCPRG00005017282.1)". The record is from RNAcentral. Lineage: Eukaryota; Metazoa; Chordata; Crocodylia; Crocodylidae.
AUCAUUCUCAGGAGUCAUCAGCACAUGAGGAGCCUGGAAAUGGUAGAUAACCAAAGUCUGCUUUUCAUGACCUGGUUCUUGCUUAAACCAUUUCUUAUGAGUGCCAUCUACUGACUCAUUCUCAUCAGUACCCAGCUAUUUCUUUCUAAGGAGCAUCCAACACAGCAGUGCUUAACUUAUAGAAAUGAAGGGAACUGAGCACAUAGUACUACAGCUGCUGGAAAACGAAAGCUGGAGGGUUUGAGAGCUCCACAGAAAUAAUAGCCUUAAAACUUGAUCUUGUUGCAUUCAUAGACAGUGACACUAUUAAAAUAUUUAUUAACUUAUGCAAGGUUCAACUCAUAUGUCAUGUGUCCUAUGCCCGGAAGGGGGAGAUGUUGCCAAACAGCACAAAGCUGGGAAUAGAGAACUCUGAACUGGACAGUUAGAAGAUAGUAACUGGGAAGGAAGUUGACAAAAGUUGGUGACUGACUAGAGAGUUGAAGAGAGAAGGAAAGUGCUAAAGGAAGGUGAAACCCACAGGAUGUUGAUCAGGAGAGGUCGCAGAUGAUUGGAAAAGGGCAAACACAGUGCCCAUAUUUAAGAAAGGGAAAAAGGAGGAUCCAGGGAACUACAGGCCAGUCAGCCUCACCUCAGUUCCUGGAAAAACCAUGGAGCAGAUCCUCAAGGAGUCCAUUUCUAAGCACUUGGAGAAGAAAAAGUGGGUCCAGCUAAAGAAGAAGAAGACUGGCUAUGAGGAGGCAGAGAGAAAGCCUCUAUUGUUGGAAGGAGGGAUGGUGAUUCUUGAUCUAAGCCCAAAAGAACUCUUAGGAGUGGUAAGGAAAUGGAGGUGUGUGUUUGACUGUACCAGAUGCAAAGCAAUAGAGAAACUUGCCUGAAGUGUUUGAAAGAGCAAUGAAAAAUGGAAGAUCUUACUUUGCAUGUGCAUUACCCACAACAUGAGCUCAUGUGGAGAUGAAAGCCUGAAAGAACAACAUUGCCAUGGAAAACAUUAAACAUGUUUUAUUUACAUGUAUAUAUUUUCAUCUCUCCCACAUAUGGAAUGACAGAAUGAUACAUCCAGCAAUCAGUGACGUGUAGGAGCUGCUCUCUCUUCAUUCAUCCUGGGUGACAUCUGCACCCAAAGGAGUGGGAGGAUCAGAUUAGGCAGCAGGGCAGUUCAGUGUAGGCAUUGCAACAUCCUGAUGGAGGGCUGUGCCUACCUCCAAGGCUUAAUAAACUCUGAGUGUGAAAUCCUGACCA